This 500-nucleotide ribosomal RNA is filed under the name Rana pseudodalmatina. Its description in RNAcentral is "partial large subunit ribosomal RNA". It matches the Rfam family "Bacterial large subunit ribosomal RNA", at positions 1931 to 2600 of the family's 2925-position model. Lineage: Eukaryota; Metazoa; Chordata; Amphibia; Anura; Ranidae. The record is from RNAcentral.
CCGCGGUACCCUAACCGUGCGAAGGUAGCAUAAUCACUUGUUCUUUAAAUGAGGACUUGUAUCAACGGCACUACGAGGGCCAUACUGUCUCCUUUUUCUAAUCAGUGAAACUGAUCUCCCCGUGAAGAAGCGGGGAUCAAAAUAUAAGACGAGAAGACCCCAUGGAGCUUUAAACUCACCACACACCUCUGUGAUGCUAUACCAUUAAACACAAGAAAUCUGUGUGCUAGUUUUAGGUUGGGGUGACCACGGAGUACAAUUUAACCUCCAUAACAAAUGGGCUAAUACCCUUAUCCACGAGACACAACUCUAAGAAUUACUAAACUAAUGCUUAUGACCCGAUAUUCGAUCAAUGAACCAAGUUACCCUGGGGAUAACAGCGCAAUCUACUUCAAGAGCCCCUAUCGACAAGUAGGUUUACGACCUCGAUGUUGGAUCAGGGUAUCCCGGUGGUGCAGCCGCUACCGAUGGUUCGUUUGUUCAACGAUUAAAACCCUACG